Molecule: long non-coding RNA, 369 nt
Organism: Pezoporus flaviventris
Lineage: Eukaryota; Metazoa; Chordata; Aves; Psittaciformes; Psittacidae
Exons: 3
Source: RefSeq, a predicted model, not a curated record
ACUCGCAGCAGCAAAAGGUGUCACCGGCUCGUGUUAAUUGUCCCAGAGCGAUGGAAACAAGCUUGAUUGCACCAGACUACAAUGAAGGAGCAAAGAAGGGGCACUAGAACCUGGCAAGAAAGGUGCCACCAGUGCAGCCCAUGCCAGCCACAUGGUACCUCUGUUGCAAAUGCAGGUGGUGUAGAGGAACUUCCAUUAGUCCCUGACACUCCAGCAGAGCUUGUGAACCUGCUGCAAUGCGUAUUUCUCACAGCAUUCUGGAGGCUGAAGUUUCCCUAUAUUUUCUUGGUUUUUUCUUGCUAAUAGAUUAAUUUUCUCCUAACAUGCUUUAUUUUAAAAGCAACCAAACUAAUAAAGCUGGUUUAUAUA